RNAcentral lists this non-coding RNA (29 nucleotides) under Rattus norvegicus (Norway rat). Lineage: Eukaryota; Metazoa; Chordata; Mammalia; Rodentia; Muridae. The record is from RNAcentral.
GCUAUCUAAGGCGACCCGCCUACUUUGCG